Molecule: signal recognition particle RNA, 89 nt
Filed under: Alkalibacterium subtropicum
Lineage: Bacteria; Bacillati; Bacillota; Bacilli; Lactobacillales; Carnobacteriaceae
Description: Bacterial small signal recognition particle RNA
Rfam family: Bacterial small signal recognition particle RNA
About the family: The signal recognition particle (SRP) is a universally conserved ribonucleoprotein involved in the co-translational targeting of proteins to membranes.
Source: RNAcentral
GCCACAUGACAAUGGCGGGCAUAUGAACCGUGUCAGGUCCGGAAGGAAGCAGCACUAAGUAUCGCUCCUCCAUGUGUUAUGUGAAUACA